GGGAGAUGGCCCAGGGACCUGUUGAGUCCCAGAGAUGUGGGGAUGUCCUGAGCAGUUCUAGGGAACUCAGGGCAGGAGGCUUGGCUUUGGUAGUACUUGGUGGCUCAAGCGGCUUAGGUGACAGAUAAGUCUGCAUGUUCCAGGGCGGCAUUGACACCCGGGUUCGGGGUGUGGAGGUCCUGGGCCCUAAGCCCACAUUCUGGCCACUGUUCCGGGAGCAGCUGUGUCGCCGAACAUGUCUCUUCUACACAAUUCGGGCACAAGCCUGGAGCCGGGACAUAGCAGAGGACCGCCGGCGCCUCCUCCAGCUCUGUCCCAGACUGAACAGGGUUUUGCGCCACGAGCAGAAUUUUGCUGACCGCUUCCUCCCUGAUGAUGAGGCCGCCCAGGCACUGGGCAAGACCUGCUGGGAGGCCCUGGUCAGCCCCCUGGUACAGAACAUCACCUCUCCUGGUAACCAUGCUGACACCUGGCCCCACUAACCAGUUCCUUGUCCUUAUUCCCAGGGAUCACCUGAGUUAAUGUUCUUGGUUCUUUUGGUUCCUGUCUUUAUCCCUGAAGGCCUGUCACCUCAGUGUUCCUCUCUCCUUCCUGCCCC
This 598-nucleotide small RNA is filed under the name Pongo abelii (Sumatran orangutan). RNAcentral's name for it is "retained intron". The record is from RNAcentral. Lineage: Eukaryota; Metazoa; Chordata; Mammalia; Primates; Hominidae.